This 1343-nucleotide ribosomal RNA is filed under the name uncultured bacterium. RNAcentral describes it as "16S ribosomal RNA". It matches the Rfam family "Bacterial small subunit ribosomal RNA", at positions 28 to 1378 of the family's 1533-position model. The record is from RNAcentral.
GACGAACGCUGGCGGCGUGCUUAACACAUGCAAGUCGAACGGAAAGGCCCUGCUUUUGUGGGGUGCUCGAGUGGCGAACGGGUGAGUAACACGUGAGUAACCUGCCCUUGACUUUGGGAUAACUUCAGGAAACUGGGGCUAAUACCGGAUAGGAGCUCCUGCUGCAUGGUGGGGGUUGGAAAGUUUCGGCGGUUGGGGAUGGACUCGCGGCUUAUCAGCUUGUUGGUGGGGUAGUGGCUUACCAAGGCUUUGACGGGUAGCCGGCCUGAGAGGGUGACCGGCCACAUUGGGACUGAGAUACGGCCCAGACUCCUACGGGAGGCAGCAGUGGGGAAUAUUGCACAAUGGGCGGAAGCCUGAUGCAGCAACGCCGCGUGCGGGAUGACGGCCUUCGGGUUGUAAACCGCUUUCGCCUGUGACGAAGCGUGAGUGACGGUAAUGGGUAAAGAAGCACCGGCUAACUACGUGCCAGCAGCCGCGGUGAUACGUAGGGUGCGAGCGUUGUCCGGAUUUAUUGGGCGUAAAGGGCUCGUAGGUGGUUGAUCGCGUCGGAAGUGUAAUCUUGGGGCUUAACCCUGAGCGUGCUUUCGAUACGGGUUGACUUGAGGAAGGUAGGGGAGAAUGGAAUUCCUGGUGGAGCGGUGGAAUGCGCAGAUAUCAGGAGGAACACCAGUGGCGAAGGCGGUUCUCUGGGCCUUUCCUGACGCUGAGGAGCGAAAGCGUGGGGAGCGAACAGGCUUAGAUACCCUGGUAGUCCACGCUGUAAACGGUGGGUACUAGGUGUGGGGUCCAUUCCACGGGUUCCGUGCCGUAGCUAACGCUUUAAGUACCCCGCCUGGGGAGUACGGCCGCAAGGCUAAAACUCAAAGGAAUUGACGGGGCCCCGCACAAGCGGCGGAGCAUGCGGAUUAAUUCGAUGCAACGCGUAGAACCUUACCUGGGUUUGACAUGGAUCGGGAGUGCUCAGAGAUGGGUGUGCCUCUUUUGGGGUCGGUUCACAGGUGGUGCAUGGCUGUCGUCAGCUCGUGUCGUGAGAUGUUGGGUUAAGUCCCGCAACGAGCGCAACCCUUGUUCACUGUUGCCAGCACGUUAUGGUGGGGACUCAGUGGAGACCGCCGGGGUCAACUCGGAGGAAGGUGGGGAUGACGUCAAGUCAUCAUGCCCCUUAUGUCCAGGGCUUCACGCAUGCUACAAUGGCUGGUACAGAGGGUGGCGAGCCUGUGAGGGUGAGCGAAUCUCGGAAAGCCGGUCUCAGUUCGGAUUGGGGUCUGCAACUCGACCUCAUGAAGUCGGAGUCGCCAGUAAUCGCAGAUCAGCAACGCUGCGGUGAAUACGUUCCCGGG